RNAcentral lists this ribosomal RNA (848 nucleotides) under uncultured bacterium. RNAcentral's name for it is "bacterial SSU rRNA". It matches the Rfam family "Bacterial small subunit ribosomal RNA", at positions 34 to 887 of the family's 1533-position model. The record is from RNAcentral.
CGCUGGCGGUGCGCCUUAUGCAUGCAAGUCGAGCGAAGCUUUUCAGUAGUUUACUACAGAAAAUGACUGAGCGGCGAACGGGUGAGUAACGCGUGAGCAACCUACCUUAGUUACUGGGAUAGCCCGAGGAAACUCGGAUUAAUACCGGAUAUUCUUAUUUAAUCACAUGAUUUUUUAAGGAAAGGUCAGCCGAACUAAGAUGGGCUCGCGUUCUAUCAGCUAGUUGGUAGGGUAAUGGCCUACCAAGGCUACGACGGAUAGCUGGUCUGAGAGGACGAUCAGCCACACUGGGACUGAGACACGGCCCAGACUCCUACGGGAGGCUGCAGCAGGGAAUAUUGCGCAAUGAGCGAAAGCUUGACGCAGCGACACCGCGUGUGGGAUGACGGAUCUAGGUUUGUAAACCACUUUCAGGAGGGAAGAAAAUGACGGUACCUCCACAAGAAGCCCCGGCCAACUACGUGCCAGCAGCCGCGGUAAUACGUAGGGGGCGAGCGUUGUCCGGAUUUAUUGGGCGUAAAGAGCUCGUAGGCGGUUCAACAAGUCGGUCGUGAAAGUUCAGGGCUCAACCCUGAAAUGUCGAUCGAUACUGUUGUGACUAGGAUACGGUAGAGGUGAGUGGAAUUCCGAGUGUAGCGGUGAAAUGCGUAGAUAUUCGGAGGAACACCAAUUGCGAAGGCAGCUCACUGGGCCGCUAUCGACGCUGAGGAGCGAAAGCUAGGGGAGCAAACAGGAUUAGAUACCCUGGUAGUCCUAGCUGUAAACGAUGGAUACUAGACGUAGGAAUUGGAUUAACGAUUUCUGUGUCGUAGCUAACGCGUUAAGUAUCCCGCCUGGGGAGUACGGUC